Molecule: long non-coding RNA, 683 nt
Organism: Astatotilapia calliptera (eastern happy)
Lineage: Eukaryota; Metazoa; Chordata; Actinopteri; Cichliformes; Cichlidae
Source: Ensembl
AUAGCACAGUUUGAAUUUCCAGCACAGCUCCACAUCAUUAUUAAACAUUUGCUUGAACUUAUAUAGUCUAAAGUAUGUCCUGAGUUCUUCAAAAUUCUCUUGGCAUCAGCGAGGUAUUUGUGACUAAAGAAAUAAUCUGCUUGAAACCUGGAUUUUUACUGUGUACAGUUGGGUGAUGCGUCAUCCUUUUGUACUCUUGUGACAUCCUUUUUCUUUUUUUCUGCGACCACCCCCCGCCCUGCACAACAGAGGAGGGGAUUCCUUCUCUCCUUGGUCUACUCUUUGUGCUGUUGGAAUGCUAAAGAUCCAAUGUUAAACCUCCCUGGGCAGUAUUUAGCAGAGUAUUUUAGAGGCUCAGGAGGAUAAGUGGCAUUUCAGGUCUGUUUGAAUGUAGAUCUCGUUUUAUGUUCAAACUUCUUCAGUUCCAUUUUCUCUGAUUGUCCUUUUCCCAAUUACUAAGCAAUAUUAAAGUUUGUUUAAAAAGUAAUCGUAUAGUAGUAAUCAAGUGUAAAGAGCUUUUUUUCUUCUUUUUUUUUUUGUAAACCACUACCCACUCUGUGACUUUCUACCUCACUGAUUGGCAUUUGCAUUCCUGUGCUCCAUUUAAGGGUGAAUCUAAUCACAUCCUGGGCUGUGAGUCAUCGUGUGGAUGAGUUGUGAAAUAAUCCCUCCUGAAUGAAAAU